AGGGGGGUAGCUCAGUUAUAGAGUACUUGCCUGGCAUGCAGGAAGCACUGGGUUCAAUACCCAGCACUGCAA
Molecule: transfer RNA, 72 nt
Filed under: Ictidomys tridecemlineatus (thirteen-lined ground squirrel)
Lineage: Eukaryota; Metazoa; Chordata; Mammalia; Rodentia; Sciuridae
Description: Spermophilus tridecemlineatus (thirteen-lined ground squirrel) tRNA
Rfam family: tRNA
About the family: Transfer RNA (tRNA) molecules are approximately 80 nucleotides in length. Their secondary structure includes four short double-helical elements and three loops (D, anti-codon, and T loops).
Source: Rfam by way of RNAcentral